UACGAAGGGGGCUAGCGUUGUUCGGAAUCACUGGGCGUAAAGCGCACGUAGGCGGACUUUCAAGUCAGGGGUGAAAUCCCGGGGCUCAACCUCGGAAUUGCUUUUGAUACUGUAGGUCUCGAGUCCGGAAGAGGUGGGUGGAAUUCCUAGUGUAGAGGUGAAAUUCGUAGAUAUUAGGAAGAACACCGGUGGCGAAGGCGGCCCACUGGUCCGGUACUGACGCUGAGGUGCGAAAGCGUGGGGAGCAAACAGG
This 253-nucleotide ribosomal RNA is filed under the name uncultured bacterium. RNAcentral's name for it is "partial 16S ribosomal RNA". It matches the Rfam family "Bacterial small subunit ribosomal RNA", at positions 524 to 776 of the family's 1533-position model. The record is from RNAcentral.